RNAcentral lists this ribosomal RNA (192 nucleotides) under Triticum aestivum (bread wheat). RNAcentral describes it as "partial small subunit ribosomal RNA". The record is from RNAcentral. Lineage: Eukaryota; Viridiplantae; Streptophyta; Magnoliopsida; Poales; Poaceae.
AUGUGGCCCGCUUCCAAGUGCGUCUGCGCGCCGGCCACCCACGCCAGGUCCUUCAAGUGCCGCUUCCACCGCACCAACUCCCAGGGCCAGGGAAGCCGUCCUUCUUCGCCCCCUUCACCGGCCGCGGCCAACGCGGUGCCGCGGCACCCGGCCUCGCCGUUCUCGUCCUCCGGCACCGUCACGACCCAGUGA